Molecule: ribosomal RNA, 448 nt
Filed under: uncultured bacterium
Lineage: Bacteria
Description: bacterial SSU rRNA
Rfam family: Bacterial small subunit ribosomal RNA
Source: RNAcentral
GCCAGACUCCUACGGGAGGCAGCAGUGGGGAAUAUUGCACAAUGGGGGAAACCCUGAUGCAGCGACGCCGCGUGAGCGAAGAAGUAUUUCGGUAUGUAAAGCUCUAUCAGCAGGGAAGAAAAUGACGGUACCUGACUAAGAAGCCCCGGCUAACUACGUGCCAGCAGCCGCGGUAAUACGUAGGGGGCAAGCGUUAUCCGGAUUUACUGGGUGUAAAGGGGGCGCAGACGGCGAUGCAAGCCAGGAGUGAAAGCCCGGGGCCCAACCCCGGGACUGCUCUUGGAACUGCGUGGCUGGAGUGCAGGAGGGGCAGGCGGAAUUCCUGGUGUAGCGGUGAAAUGCGUAGAUAUUAGGAGGAACACCAGUGGCGAAGGCGGCUUGCUGGACAGAGACUGACGUUGAGGCUCGAAAGCGUGGGGAGCAAACAGGAUUAGAUACCCCUGUAAUC